AAGAGUUAGGGUCUUCUAGGCCCGAUCUCCCAACCCUUUGUUUACCCAACCAUCGUUGCUUCGGCGGGCCCGUCCUCCAAGGACCGUCGGGGGACCGUCAAAACGUCCUCUGGCCAGUGCCCGUCGGUGGCCAACCUACUUAAAUUCUUAAUUAAACGUGUCAUUAUCUGAGUACUAUAUAAAAUAAAGCA
This 191-nucleotide unclassified non-coding RNA is filed under the name uncultured fungus. RNAcentral's name for it is "sequence contains ITS1, 5.8S rRNA gene". The record is from RNAcentral. RNAcentral also lists the same sequence under 1 other name. Lineage: Eukaryota; Fungi.